This 336-nucleotide unclassified non-coding RNA is filed under the name soil metagenome. Its description in RNAcentral is "partial contains 5.8S ribosomal RNA, internal transcribed spacer 2, and large subunit ribosomal RNA". The stretch from base 1 to 120 matches the Rfam family "5.8S ribosomal RNA", at positions 35 to 154 of the family's 154-position model. The record is from RNAcentral.
GAUGAAGAACGUAGCGAAAUGCGAUAAGUAAUGUGAAUUGCAGAAUUCAGUGAAUCAUCGAAUCUUUGAACGCACAUUGCGCCCGGCAGUACUCUGCCGGGCAUGCCUGUUCGAGCGUCAUUUCAACCCUCAAGCCCUGCUUGGUGUUGGGGCCCCACGGCUGCCGUGGGCCCUGAAAGGAAGUGGCGGGCUCGCUACAACUCCGAGCGUAGUAAUUCAUUAUCUCGCUUAGGGCGUUGGGCGGCGCUCCAGCCGUUAAAGAACCAUCUUUAACUCAAGGUUGACCUCGGAUCAGGUAGGAAUACCCGCUGAACUUAAGCAUAUCAAAGCGGAGGA